This 488-nucleotide long non-coding RNA is filed under the name Nicotiana benthamiana. RNAcentral describes it as "long non-coding RNA (NBEN_LNC031298)". Lineage: Eukaryota; Viridiplantae; Streptophyta; Magnoliopsida; Solanales; Solanaceae. The record is from RNAcentral.
UUUGACUGUGUCUGAAUUGAUCGAUUUUGGCCAAACUUCUCCGUCUAUUUCUGCAAGUAUGAGGGCUCCUCAUGUCGAAUUCAGGUGAACCAUGUAUGAACCUUUCCACUUGGUAGAGAACUUCCCUUUGGCUUCAUCUUGAUGUGGGAAAAGUUUCUUUAACACCAGCUGCCCCGAUGCAAAUUGUCUCAGUUUGACUCUUUUGUUGAUGGCUCUGGACAUUCUCUUCUAGUAAAGUUGACCAUGACAAACUACGUUCAUUCUUUUUCCAUCUAUAAGGGCUAACUUCUUGUAGCGACUCUUUACCUGUUCCACGUUGUCAAGUUCAGCUUCCUGUAUGAUUCUCAAGGAGGGAAUUUCUAUCGUAGCGGGAAUGACUGCUUUUGUACCAUAAACCAACAUAUAGGGAGUUGCACCAAUUGAUGUGCUAAUUGUGGUACGGUACCCAAAUAAAGAAAAUGAUAACUUCUCAUGCCACUGCUUAUGCU